This 512-nucleotide long non-coding RNA is filed under the name Phoenix dactylifera (date palm). RNAcentral describes it as "long non-coding RNA (PDAC_LNC018300)". The record is from RNAcentral. Lineage: Eukaryota; Viridiplantae; Streptophyta; Magnoliopsida; Arecales; Arecaceae.
GAAAACCAAUUGUAAAGGUUCGUUGGUAAGCCCGUAAAACCAACAUAGGUUGUUGGUAAGCCCGUAAAACCAACGUAGGUUGUUGGUGAACCCGUAAAACCAAUUGUAUAGGUUCGUUGGUGAGCCCGUAAAACCAACAUAGGUUUUUGGUGAAUUCGGAAAACCAAAGUGUAUAGGUUCGUUGGUGAGCCCGUAAAACCAACAUAGGUUUUUGGAUUGUGAGCCCGGAAAACAAUCCAACUGUAAUCCGCAGGAUUAUAGUGAAUUCCCAAGGGGACGCUUGGGGAGUGGACGUAGGUGCUAAGGAGAGCACCGAACCACUAUAUAUUGUUGUGUUUGUGUUGUGCUUGUGCUUACAUUUAUUCUUGCAUCAUCUUCUAUCUUUGCACUAGUUUAAAUCAUUCAAAUAGUUUAAGGAAGCAUCCACCGCACUAAUUAAGAAAACGUUUAAAGCACCAAAAUUUAGAAGAAACCAAUUCACCCCCCCUCUUGGCUUGUCACCUUGGGCAACA